GAUGAAGAACGUAGCGAAAUGCGAUAAGUAAUGUGAAUUGCAGAAUUCAGUGAAUCAUCGAAUCUUUGAACGCACAUUGCGCCCGCCAGUAUUCUGGCGGGCAUGCCUGUUCGAGCGUCAUUACAACCCUCAGGCCCCCGGGCCUGGCGUUGGGGAUCGGCGGAGCCCCCCGUGGGCACACGCCGUCCCCCAAAUGCAGUGGCGGUCCCGCCGCAGCUUCCAUCGCGUAGUAGCUAACACCUCGCGACUGGAGAGCGGCGCGGCCACGCCGUAAAACACCCAACUCUUCUGAAGUUGACCUCGAAUCAGGUAGGAAUACCCGCUGAACUUAAGCAGAUCAAUAAGCGGAGGA
This 352-nucleotide unclassified non-coding RNA is filed under the name soil metagenome. RNAcentral describes it as "partial contains 5.8S ribosomal RNA, internal transcribed spacer 2, and large subunit ribosomal RNA". The stretch from base 1 to 120 matches the Rfam family "5.8S ribosomal RNA", at positions 35 to 154 of the family's 154-position model. The record is from RNAcentral.